GACGAACGCUGGCGGCGUGCCUAAUACAUGCAAGUCGAGCGGACUUUCAAGAAGCUUGCUUUUUGAAAGUUAGCGGCGGACGGGUGAGUAACACGUGGGCAACCUGCCUGCAAGACGGGGAUAACUCCGGGAAACCGGGGCUAAUACCGGAUAAUAUCUUCCUUCGCAUGAAGGAAGGUUGAAAGGCGGCGCAAGCUGCCGCUUGCAGAUGGGCCCGCGGCGCAUUAGCUAGUUGGUGAGGUAACGGCUCACCAAGGCGACGAUGCGUAGCCGACCUGAGAGGGUGAUCGGCCACACUGGGACUGAGACACGGCCCAGACUCCUACGGGAGGCAGCAGUAGGGAAUCUUCCGCAAUGGACGAAAGUCUGACGGAGCAACGCUGCGUGAGCGAAGAAGGUCGUCGGAUCGUAAAGCUCUGUUGUCAGGGAAGAACAAGUACCGUUCGAACAGGGCGGUACCUUGACGGUACCUGACCAGAAAGCCACGGCUAACUACGUG
Molecule: ribosomal RNA, 499 nt
Filed under: uncultured bacterium
Lineage: Bacteria
Description: partial 16S ribosomal RNA
Rfam family: Bacterial small subunit ribosomal RNA
Source: RNAcentral